UACGUAGGGUGCAGGCGUUAAUCGGAAUUACUGGGCGUAAAGCGUGCGCAGGCGGUUUCUUAAGUCAGAUGUGAAAGCCCCGGGCUUAACCUGGGAACUGCGUUUGAAACUGGGAGACUUGAGUGUAGCAGAGGGGGGUGGAAUUCCACGUGUAGCAGUGAAAUGCGUAGAUAUGUGGAGGAACACCGAUGGCGAAGGCAACCCCCUGGGUUAACACUGACGCUCAUGCACGAAAGCGUGGGGAGCAAACAGG
RNAcentral lists this ribosomal RNA (253 nucleotides) under uncultured bacterium. RNAcentral describes it as "partial 16S ribosomal RNA". It matches the Rfam family "Bacterial small subunit ribosomal RNA", at positions 524 to 776 of the family's 1533-position model. The record is from RNAcentral.